Molecule: ribosomal RNA, 507 nt
Filed under: uncultured bacterium
Lineage: Bacteria
Description: bacterial SSU rRNA
Rfam family: Bacterial small subunit ribosomal RNA
Source: RNAcentral
AGUGAACGCUGGCGGCAGGCCUAAUACAUGCAAGUCGAACGGCAGCACAGCAGAGCUUGCUCUGUGGGUGGCGAGUGGCGGACGGGUGAGGAAUACGUGGGAAUCUGCCCAGUCGUGGGGGAUAACGUAGGGAAACUUACGCUAAUACCGCAUGCGCCCUUCGGGGGAAAGCCGGGGACCUUCGGGCCUGGCGCGAUUGGAUGAGCCCACGUCGGAUUAGCUAGUUGGCGGGGUAAAGGCCCACCAAGGCGACGAUCCGUAGCUGGUCUGAGAGGAUGAUCAGCCACACUGGAACUGAGACACGGUCCAGACUCCUACGGGAGGCAGCAGUAGGGAAUAUUGGACAAUGGGCGCAAGCCUGAUCCAGCCAUGCCGCGUGAGUGAAGAAGGCCCUCGGGUUGUAAAGCUCUUUUGUCCGGAAAGAAAAGCGCCGGGUUAAUACCCUGGUGUCCUGACGGUACCGGAAGAAUAAGCACCGGCUAACGUUCGUGCCAGCAGCCGCGGUAA